Orcinus orca (killer whale) is the source of this 2502-nucleotide long non-coding RNA. RefSeq lists it as uncharacterized. The transcript is spliced from 2 exons. NCBI's taxonomy places the organism in Eukaryota, Metazoa, Chordata, Mammalia, Artiodactyla, Delphinidae. The record is from RefSeq and is a predicted model, not a curated record.
AAAUACUUAAUGAUAGUCGCUACCCCAUAUUUCUUGUUUUCAUUAAAAUUCAUAGUUGUUGGAAUGUCAGGAUUAUCCCUAAUUUUGGAUGUUUUUAGAGUUUACAUAAUACUUCCCAGAAAAUAUCCUGAGGUCAUCCGGGCCAUUUAUCAGCCUACAGAUCAAGGUUAUGCAGCUAACCUUGUUGCAUAAUGAUCUUCUGCAUAAGAGUUGUAUAAUCUCAUCUACUCUUUUGGUCUGAAAUUUAGAGUCCUGCCCAUCUCAUUCUUACUCCAUGCUAGCCUGCACCUCUGAUGUCCACUACUUCCUUUACUGUGACCAGUAGUAGAAAAACCAGAGAGGAGGGGAGCUAAAUUUUAGUAUUUUCUAUGUUCCAGACACCCUAUACAUACCUUGGUUUUCUGGUUUUAAAUUCUCUUUAAUCUGUUUCUUCUAUUUUACUGUACUAUGAGCUCCAUAAAAGGACAAAGUCUUUUUCAUCCUUGUUCUCAGCAGUUAGUAUAGUGCCUGGCACAUAGUGGAUGUUUACUUGAUGUUUUUCAAAGGGAAGAGUGAAUCAAUAAUUGUGAUACAUUUUGUGGAGGAAAAAGUCUUGACAGGUUUUUAAGAAAGCUUUGUAACGUGUUAAAUAUAAGCAUUCUGAUUCCUGCAGACUUUGUCUCAGUCAUUCAAGUUCUUGUUAGCGCUUCCAAGCCAGACUGCCCUAUGGGGUAGGAGUACACCCGGAAGCAAACAGGUUCCUACCUCUGGGUGAGGUACAGGAUCACUGAGAAAACUCCAUUCCUGAGACCAGAGAGACAGGGUCUGGCUGAACCUGAGGCUGAAGCAGGAAUACAGAAAGCUCUUCCAGCCUCUCACUGCCCUCCCCACCCCCCGGCAAGCACCAAAUAACAAGUAGCAGGUAACAAGCAACAGAAGUGUAUGGCGGGGGGAAGGCGCAAGAGCAGGGAGAGACCACUUGUGAGGAACAAACUAAUAGAGAAGACUUAAGGUAGAAGCAGAACAUUGAGAAAAAGUCUCUAGUAAACCAAUUCUCACCCUAACCACAAGGUAAGUCCAGUGAAAUUUAAAACCAGUGGUAAAUGUAGCAACAACAAAAGACAAACCCAUCUCAAUUCCUAACUAUAUUGACUCAACCCUCUACAGGCCAGCAGAAGAGGUGUCAUAUCCAGUAAUAAAUACUAUGUAUCUCAAUCUCUACUGUUCUAUGCAUUAUGAGCAGCAAGAUAUCAGUAAGUACAAGAUAGAAAAAAGCAAAAAAGCUCUUCCAAACCCAUUGUCAAGAGACAAAGCAAUCAGAACCAGAUUUAGAGGUUGCAUGAAUAUUGGAACUAUCUGAUAGGAAAUCUAAAAUCAUUAUGAGAAAAAAUAAAAUCAUUGUGAGUAACAUGUUAACUCUCAGUGGAAAAGGUGAGGAACAGGAAUGAACAGACAAGGAAAUUAGAAGAGGGACUUCUCUGGCUGUCCAGUGGUUAAGACUCCACGCUUCUACUGCAGGGGGUGCACGUUCAGUCCCUGGUCAGGGAACUAAGAUCCCACAUGCUUUGUGGCACGGCCAAAAAAAAAAGAAAAAAAAGAAGCUAUAAGAAAGAGUCAAAUGAAAUGAUAGAAUAAAAAAUCAGGAUAACAAAUUAUAAGAAUGUCUUCUACAGACACAUUCAGAUUUGACACAGCCAAGGAAAGAAAGAGUGAAGUUGUUGAUAGGUAGGUAAAUAGAAAUUAUCCAAACUCAAGCUCAAAAAGAAAAAAAAAAGAGCAAAAAACCCAGAAACAACACAGCACUCAAAAGAUGUGGGACAGGGCUUCCCUGGUGGCACAGUGGUUGAGAGUCCACCUGCCGAUGCAGGGGACACGGGUUCGUGCCCUGGUCCAGGAAGAUCCCACAUGCCGCAGAGCGGCUAGGCCCAUAAGCCAUGGCCGCUGAGCCAGCAUGUCCGGAGCCUGUGCUCCGCAACGAGAGAGGCCACGACAGUGAGAGGCCCACAUAACGCAAAAAAAAAAAAAAAAAAAAAAUGUGGGACAAAAUCAUGUGGUCUAAUAUAUGUGUAAUUUGAAUUCCAGAAGGAGAGAGAAAAUGAGACAGAAGAAAUAUUUGAAGAGAUAGUGGUCAAGAAUUUUCUGAAAAUGUUGAAAUGUAUCAAACCACAGUUGCACAAAGCUCAAGAGAAUGCCAAGAAGGAUUUAAAAAACAAACAAACAAAAACUAGACACACUAUAUUCAAACUGCUGAAAGGCCAAAGUUACAGAGAAAAUCUUGUAGACAAAGGGGGAAAAAAAGUGUUAUAUACAAACCUGUGCAAGCCAAACAACAGUGGAGUGAUGUCUUUAAAGUGCGAGAAGAAAAAAUCUGAUGACUCUGAAUUCUAUGCCCAACAAGACUAUCUUUUAAAGAUGAAGGAAAACUGCUUUUUCAGCCAAAAACUGGGAAAAUGCAAUAGCAUAUCUAUGCUACAGAAAAAUGUUAAAGGAAGUUCUUUUUUUUUUAAUAAAUUUAUUUAUUUA